CAUCCUGGGGCUGAAGUAGGUCCCAAGGGUAUGGCUGUUCGCCAUUUAAAGUGGUACGCGAGCUGGGUUUAGAACGUCGUGAGACAGUUCGGUCCCUAUCUGCCGUGGGCGCUGGAGAACUGAGGGGGGCUGCUCCUAGUACGAGAGGACCGGAGUGGACGCAUCACUGGUGUUCGGGUUGUCAUGCCAAUGGCACUGCCCGGUAGCUAAAUGCGGAAGAGAUAAGUGCUGAAAGCAUCUAAGCACGAAACUUGCCCCGAGAUGAGUUCUCCCUGACUCCUUGAGAGUCCUGAAGGAACGUUGAAGACGACGACGUUGAUAGGCCGGGUGUGUAAGCGCAGCGAUGCGUUGAGCUAACCGGUACUAAUGAACCGUGAGGCUUAACCUUACAACGCCGAAGGUGUUU
Molecule: ribosomal RNA, 406 nt
Filed under: Escherichia coli
Lineage: Bacteria; Pseudomonadati; Pseudomonadota; Gammaproteobacteria; Enterobacterales; Enterobacteriaceae
Description: bacterial LSU rRNA
Rfam family: Bacterial large subunit ribosomal RNA
Source: RNAcentral